AGGGAUGUAGCCCAAAUGGUAGAGCGCUCGCUUUGUAUGCGAGAGAUAAUGGAAUCGAUACCCCACAUUUCCA
RNAcentral lists this transfer RNA (73 nucleotides) under Tropilaelaps mercedesae. It matches the Rfam family "tRNA". From Rfam's summary of the family: Transfer RNA (tRNA) molecules are approximately 80 nucleotides in length. Their secondary structure includes four short double-helical elements and three loops (D, anti-codon, and T loops). The record is from Rfam by way of RNAcentral. Lineage: Eukaryota; Metazoa; Arthropoda; Arachnida; Mesostigmata; Laelapidae.